UAAGGAGGAAGCCGAGCCUGGUAGGCGGAGUGUAGAGGCGGGCCUGGUGGGGAGGCGGCCAGCGCGAGGCCAGGGACAGAGGCGAGGCCCGGAGCGAGGUUUCGGGAAGAGGGGCCCUUGGAGUCCGGCUUGCUCCAGAGGGGGCGGAGGCAGCGGAUCUGCCCCCGCGCUCCACCGCCUGGCAGCGGCUGGCUGUGGAGAGGGGGAGGCCUGGAGCACCUUCCCUGCCCCGGUGAGGUCCGCGGAUGCCCGGGAGGGGAGCCCAGGACUAGCUCGUAGGUGGAGUUCCCUGGGGCCAUGGGGAGUGCAGGCGGGGAGGGGCAGGUCUGGAGGCCCCAGCUCCCUGGGCCCCUGGCCGCUGCCCACCUGCAGUCUGCCAACAGCUGGCCGGGGUGCCUGUUUGGAGGGCGGUAUUUUUUUUUUUUAAGUUGUCAAUGGACACGUGGUGCUGAGAAUGGAACCCGGUGCUUCACACAUGCUAGACAAGUGCCCUGCCACUGAGCCCCAGCCUCAGCCCCUUUAAGCUAACUGUUCUAAAUGCCUUUCUCAAAAUACAACUCCUGUGCCGCAGUCUGGCUGGGCACAAAUAACCGGGAGGUCACCAGCCACUUUAGAUUCAAGCAGGAACGAACUUUAUUCGAGAACCCAAGAGAACUCAACAGGAUCUCCACCAGAACUCAAAAGUAGCGGGCACCCGAGGUAGCAGGAGCCGCCUUAUUGCCGGACAGCAGAGGUUUAUAUACACAACUGAAUACCAGCUUGUUUCAAUUUAGCAUCAUCCAGUUACAGCAAUCAGUCAUCAUCCCAAUAAUCGUACACAGCUCAACUCAACCAUCAUCAUCUUAAUGGCUCGCUGGCGCUACCCCUCAACCACUCCUUCUGGGAAAAUGCCAGGCACCAUCUUGACUUAUUUGUGGCUCUCAACAUCUCCCCCUUUUGUUUUUAAACAACAAGUAUAUGGCUUAGGGACCCUGCCUGUCUUAGGUUGUCUAAUACUACAUAUGGUCCUUAGCUGUCAUCAGAUGAGCUGACCUCAAGGUGUCAGCCUCCUGUCUUAGGUUGGUACCAUUGCAAUUGGAUCUUACCCGUCAUUGACUACCGGCCCAGCAUUAUGUAGCCAUACUUGUGGAUAACCUGCUACAAGCAGAAAGGGGAGGACACAAAAUGCCACGACACCAAGCCAAUUGACGGACCCUUUUGGAAAAAUUGUACCACUGUUGACACCAUCAGCAAAGAUACCCCGGCUCUACCACAAUUUGCUGCACCAACAGAUAGUUCACAAUGCAUACAAGUGAUACAUAGUCCAGGCAAGUUCUGCAAGCAGUUCAAAGCAGAGGAAUCCAUUAGUAUGUCCAUUUCCUCCCAAAGAAAAUCGACUCCUUGAUUGACCAUCACUUGUUGAGUUAUUAUUCAUUGAUGCAUCAGUUUAUACAGUUUGUUGUGAUAGCUAUUGAAGAAGCUGUAGUUUGGUUUUAUCUUUGUCUUCACUGACACUGGGAUGAAGAUAGGAAUUCUGGCAAUGAUGGCUAAAAAAAAUUUAUGUUAUAUUCCAGCAGGCACUAAAAAAAAGCAAUUUUCUAAAUAAUUUAGUAUCAUGAAUAGAAUUAGAUAUAAUGAAAAGGAAAGGUAAAAGUAAACAAACAGAUCUGUUAACCACAUUUUAAAACAAUUCUCAACAGCUGUUUACCUAAUUUAAAUUAAACCGUGUAAAUCACAUGAAUAAAAAAAUAUUUGGAUCCAUUUUUUCAUGAGCGAUCCUCAUAUAUGAUAUAUGGACAUACGCACAUACAGAUAACACAAAACACAAGUGUGCACACAUAACACAAUAAUACAACACAUGACAUAAUAGUAAAGGCCUUGUAGCUUUUCACAGGUGAAAUCCCCAUUGCAAUGUUUAAAAACUCCACAGUCAAAAAAUAGAACUAAUCAAAAAACAUUAACCUAGGUCUGUAUGAGCUCAAAAAAUAAAAUAGAACUUCAUGAUGUGGGAGAGGGCAAUAAUAAAAUAGAUACUGAAAAAAGCAUCCUGGUUACCACCUGGGCUUGACUCUUCUUUUGAUAUCCAUCCCUCUUCCCGUAACUUGCUUAUGGGUCUGAAGGUAUUCCCACAAGCAAGCCACAAGGAUUUUUACAUUUGAAAUAGGCCUUAAUGGUGUUCAUUAUUCAUUAGCCUCCAGGUGUGGGAGAAACACUGUCGCAGAUGUAAGGAUAGCUAAAUUGGAGUUCUGGAUAUCAGCUGUUAUGGAUUUGAGCCAAAUCAUCUUCUUUUUGUUCUGUAGAAAUCGCUUUAGUUAGUCUCUCUGGAAUCCAAAUUGGCUGCUGUUCUCCCUGUGGAAACACACAAACAGACCCCCGACACCAGACAAUCACUGGGUCAGGACCUUUCCAUUGUCCUGUUAGAAUAUCCUUCCAAAGUACCUUGGGCUUAUGUACAUUUUUUGGACACAUAUGCCUUUCCGUAGCACUAAGCCCUGAU
This 2476-nucleotide long non-coding RNA is filed under the name Marmota monax (woodchuck). The record is from RNAcentral. Lineage: Eukaryota; Metazoa; Chordata; Mammalia; Rodentia; Sciuridae.